This 462-nucleotide long non-coding RNA is filed under the name Trifolium pratense (red clover). RNAcentral's name for it is "long non-coding RNA (TPRA_LNC003824)". The record is from RNAcentral. Lineage: Eukaryota; Viridiplantae; Streptophyta; Magnoliopsida; Fabales; Fabaceae.
CAUUGUUGCAAAAAAAUUAAAUUUUGUAAGAGAGAUUUCUAUAACGUACUAAACAUAACUACGAAAAAAUUCAAAAUUUUGAAUAAUUGCAUGAGUUGAGUUAAAUGCAAGGACAAAAAAUUGUACGAAAAAUAUUUGAGGAACAAACUUGUUGAACUAUUUUAGAGAUUAAAAAUAAAUUUUCAGAUAUUUAUCAGAACCAAACAGUUAUUUAACCUUAUAAUUAAAUUAACAUGAAAUAUGAUACGGUUUUUAAUAUUUGAGAGAGAUACCAGAAUCAAACUAAACUCUCAAGUACGACCGUUCACCAAAUUUAGAAGCGUUGAUAAAAAUUACUUACUGCAGUUUGUUAUAGAAAUAAUUAUGGAAAAAACAAUAAUCAUAGCAUAAAUAAAUAUAUAAACUUCAGCCAUGUUUUCUCUUUUAUGAAUCUAGAAAUAGGAAUUGGUUGAUCAUUUUAUA